GAUGAACGCUGGCGGCGUGCCUAAUACAUGCAAGUCGAGCGAACGGACGAGAAGCUUGCUUCUCUGAUGUUAGCGGCGGACGGGUGAGUAACACGUGGAUAACCUACCUAUAAGACUGGGAUAACUUCGGGAAACCGGAGCUAAUACCGGAUAAUAUUUUGAACCGCAUGGUUCAAAAGUGAAAGACGGUCUUGCUGUCACUUAUAGAUGGAUCCGCGCUGCAUUAGCUAGUUGGUAAGGUAACGGCUUACCAAGGCAACGAUGCAUAGCCGACCUGAGAGGGUGAUCGGCCACACUGGAACUGAGACACGGUCCAGACUCCUACGGGAGGCAGCAGUAGGGAAUCUUCCGCAAUGGGCGAAAGCCUGACGGAGCAACGCCGCGUGAGUGAUGAAGCUCUUCGGAUCGUAAAACUCUGUUAUUAGGGAAGAACAUAUGUGUAAGUAACUGUGCACAUCUUGACGGUACCUAAUCAGAAAGCCACGGCUAACUACGUG
Molecule: ribosomal RNA, 497 nt
Filed under: uncultured bacterium
Lineage: Bacteria
Description: partial 16S ribosomal RNA
Rfam family: Bacterial small subunit ribosomal RNA
Source: RNAcentral